GACGUAGGGCGCAAGCGUUUGUCCGGAUUUAUUGGGCGUAAAGAGCUCGUAGGCGGCUCGUUGCGUCGGCUGUGAAAACCCGCAGCUCAACUGUGGGCUUGCAGCCGAUACGGGCGGGCUGGAGUUCGGUAGGGGAGACUGGAAUUCCUGGUGUAGCGGUGAAAUGCGUAGAGAUCGGCAGGAACACCAAGGGAGAAGUCAGCCACCUGGGCAUGUGCUGACGCUGAGGUGCGAAAGCGUGGGGAGCGAACUGG
Molecule: ribosomal RNA, 254 nt
Filed under: uncultured bacterium
Lineage: Bacteria
Description: partial 16S ribosomal RNA
Rfam family: Bacterial small subunit ribosomal RNA
Source: RNAcentral